UAUUUAAUAUAAAACUAUUCUUUUGAUAUAUUUUAAAUUUAAAGUUUUCUGGUGCUGUGCAGUUUACACUUAUUAUUUUUAAACGUUUCCUUCAAAUUUUGACAGGAGCUUUCAAUAUAUUUGGUGUUUACAAAAUUUCGGUUUCAUAAAUAUAGUUUUACAAGUUGUUUAACUUAUAAAAUAAUAUGAUGGGCUUAAACCUGACAAACUCGCUGAAUUGAGAGAAGGAAAUAUAUAAAUGAAUAUAUGUUUAUAUCCAAUUGAACAUUGCCUGAUUCAAGACAAGACAAGAUUUUUCUAUCUUGAUGGAGUCAUCCUAACUAAAUAAAUACUGUUAUUGUAAUACUUUCAAA
Molecule: long non-coding RNA, 353 nt
Organism: Pieris napi
Lineage: Eukaryota; Metazoa; Arthropoda; Insecta; Lepidoptera; Pieridae
Exons: 2
Source: RefSeq, a predicted model, not a curated record